This 30-nucleotide ribosomal RNA is filed under the name Trichoderma harzianum. RNAcentral describes it as "partial 18S ribosomal RNA". Lineage: Eukaryota; Fungi; Ascomycota; Sordariomycetes; Hypocreales; Hypocreaceae. The record is from RNAcentral.
UCCGUAGGUGAACCUGCGAAGGGAUCAUUA